CACGUAGGGUGCGAGCGUUGUCCGGAAUUAUUGGGCGUAAAGAGCUCGUAGGCGGUGUGUCGCGUCGGCCGUGAAAACCUGCAGCUUAACUGUGGGCGUGCGGUCGAUACGGGCAUCACUGGAGUUCGGUAGGGGACCACGGAAUUCCUGGUGUAGCGGUGAAAUGCGCAGAUAUCAGGAGGAACACCAGUGGCGAAGGCGGUGGUCUGGGCCGGAACUGACGCUGAGGAGCGAAAGCGUGGGUAGCAAACAGG
Molecule: ribosomal RNA, 254 nt
Filed under: uncultured bacterium
Lineage: Bacteria
Description: partial 16S ribosomal RNA
Rfam family: Bacterial small subunit ribosomal RNA
Source: RNAcentral